This 648-nucleotide ribosomal RNA is filed under the name Acinetobacter baumannii OIFC137. RNAcentral's name for it is "bacterial SSU rRNA". It matches the Rfam family "Bacterial small subunit ribosomal RNA", at positions 55 to 697 of the family's 1533-position model. Lineage: Bacteria; Pseudomonadati; Pseudomonadota; Gammaproteobacteria; Moraxellales; Moraxellaceae. The record is from RNAcentral.
AUGCAAGUCGAGCGGGGGAAGGUAGCUUGCUACCGGACCUAGCGGCGGACGGGUGAGUAAUACUUAGGAAUCUGCCUAUUAGUGGGGGACAACAUCUCGAAAGGGAUGCUAAUACCGCAUACGUCCUACGGGAGAAAGCAGGGGAUCUUCGGACCUUGCGCUAAUAGAUGAGCCUAAGUCGGAUUAGCUAGUUGGUGGGGUAAAGGCCUACCAAGGCGACGAUCUGUAGCGGGUCUGAGAGGAUGAUCCGCCACACUGGGACUGAGACACGGCCCAGACUCCUACGGGAGGCAGCAGUGGGGAAUAUUGGACAAUGGGGGGAACCCUGAUCCAGCCAUGCCGCGUGUGUGAAGAAGGCCUUAUGGUUGUAAAGCACUUUAAGCGAGGAGGAGGCUACUUUAGUUAAUACCUAGAGAUAGUGGACGUUACUCGCAGAAUAAGCACCGGCUAACUCUGUGCCAGCAGCCGCGGUAAUACAGAGGGUGCGAGCGUUAAUCGGAUUUACUGGGCGUAAAGCGUGCGUAGGCGGCUUAUUAAGUCGGAUGUGAAAUCCCCGAGCUUAACUUGGGAAUUGCAUUCGAUACUGGUGAGCUAGAGUAUGGGAGAGGAUGGUAGAAUUCCAGGUGUAGCGGUGAAAUGCGUAGAGAU